ACAGCAGUAGCCGCGGUAAUACGAAGGGGGCUAGCGUUGUUCGGAUUUACUGGGCGUAAAGCGCACGUAGGCGGACUUUUAAGUCAGGGGUGAAAUCCCGGGGCUCAACCCCGGAACUGCCUUUGAUACUGGAAGUCUUGAGUAUGGUAGAGGUGAGUGGAAUUCCGAGUGUAGAGGUGAAAUUCGUAGAUAUUCGGAGGAACACCAGUGGCGAAGGCGGCUCACUGGACCAUUACUGACGCUGAGGUGCGAAAGCGUGGGGAGCAAACAGGAUUAGAUACCCGCGUAGUCCCUGUCUCUUAUAC
RNAcentral lists this ribosomal RNA (305 nucleotides) under uncultured bacterium. RNAcentral's name for it is "partial 16S ribosomal RNA". It matches the Rfam family "Bacterial small subunit ribosomal RNA", at positions 508 to 807 of the family's 1533-position model. The record is from RNAcentral.